CCUACGGGAGGCAGCAGUGAGGAAUAUUGGUCAAUGGGCGUAAGCCUGAACCAGCCAAGUCGCGUGAGGGAUGAAGGUUCUAUGGAUCGUAAACUUCUUUUAUCAGGGAAUAAAGUGUGGGACGUGUCCUAUUUUGUAUGUACCUUAUGAAUAAGGAUCGGCUAACUCCGUGCCAGCAGCCGCGGUAAUACGGAGGAUCCGAGCGUUAUCCGGAUUUAUUGGGUUUAAAGGGUGCGUAGGCGGCCUUUUAAGUCAGCGGUGAAAGUCUGUGGCUCAACCAAAGAAUUGCCGUUGAAACUGGGGGGCUUGAGUAUGUGUGAGGCAGGCGGAAUGCGUGGUGUAGCGGUGAAAUGCUUAGAUAUCGCGCAGAACCCCGAUUGCGAAGGCAGCCUGCCAGGCCAUGACUGACGCUGAUGCACGAAAGCGUGGGGAUCAAACAGGAUUAGAUACCCCUGUAGUC
RNAcentral lists this ribosomal RNA (460 nucleotides) under uncultured bacterium. RNAcentral's name for it is "partial 16S ribosomal RNA". It matches the Rfam family "Bacterial small subunit ribosomal RNA", at positions 338 to 795 of the family's 1533-position model. The record is from RNAcentral.